GAUGAAGAACGCAGCGAAAUGCGAUACUUGGUGUGAAUUGCAGAAUCCCGUGAACCAUCGAGUCUUUAAACGCAAGUUGCGCCUCAAGCCAUUAGGUUGAGGGCACGUCUGCCUGGGCGUCACAUAUCGUUGCCUGAUGCCAGUUUCCUCGUGAUGGGUGACUGUGCAGGGCGAAUGAUGGCUUCCCGUGAGCAUUGUUGCCUCAUGGUUGGUUGAAAAUUGAGUCCUUGGUAGGGAGCGCCGUGAUAGAUGGUGGUUGAGUGACGAACGAGACCCAAUCAUGUGAGACCCCUACCGAAUUUGGCCUUCAUGACCCACAUGCGUCUUUGGAACGCUCAUGACGAGACCUCAGGUCAGGCGGGGCUACCCGCUGAGUUUAAGCAUAUCAUAAGCGGAGGA
This 399-nucleotide unclassified non-coding RNA is filed under the name soil metagenome. Its description in RNAcentral is "partial contains 5.8S ribosomal RNA, internal transcribed spacer 2, and large subunit ribosomal RNA". The stretch from base 1 to 122 matches the Rfam family "5.8S ribosomal RNA", at positions 35 to 154 of the family's 154-position model. The record is from RNAcentral.